ACAAUUCUACUGCAGAGCCACCUGAUUCAGGUCCCCAGACGAGGGCUGAAGAGACCGGUCGACACCCCUGGACACAUAAACCUGGCUUAUUUCAAAACCUUUGUCCCUCAGUUCCAGGAGGCAGCGUUUGCCAAUGGAAAGCUCUAGGAAACACCAGUCUCAAGAGGUGGCCAGCCAGACUGCUGUGUCCACAUGCGGGUCAGCACAUAUGGCCGCUUCCUGGAAGCCGCUUGGAACGCCUUCAAGGUAGCGUUCUGCACACACAGCAGCUUUGCACGCCCCGCCUGGAGCCUAGACUGAAGCGGGCUGGCGCUAACCUGGAUCCUCGAGCCCCCACGGCUGGUCGCUCCCUCUUUGUUUCCUUCGGUAUACUUCUUAGUUGGAAGAAAUAAAAUCAAAUUCUGACACAGUA
Molecule: non-coding RNA, 412 nt
Organism: Leptonychotes weddellii (Weddell seal)
Lineage: Eukaryota; Metazoa; Chordata; Mammalia; Carnivora; Phocidae
Source: RefSeq, a predicted model, not a curated record